This is a long non-coding RNA of Nematostella vectensis (starlet sea anemone), 1347 nucleotides long. RefSeq lists it as uncharacterized. Lineage: Eukaryota; Metazoa; Cnidaria; Anthozoa; Actiniaria; Edwardsiidae. The record is from RefSeq and is a predicted model, not a curated record. The transcript has 2 exons.
CAUUUACGUUAACGCCUCCAGCGACGAUGACGAUAACGUAGAUGAUGACGGAAGUGAUGAUGACUUGUGGUUUGAAGGCGAAGAUAGCGACGAUGAGACCAAUGAUGUGGAUGUAGCCCCCGUCAUUAACGAAUGCUCCCCGCAAUCUAUGUCGGACUUAAAUGGGACUUACAUCUGGAAAUAUCCUAAACAGUUUAGUCAGGGCAGCAUCGACGGAUGAAAUGGUAGUAACGCGUGCACCGUGAUAGCUCUUGUGAUAGGAUAUAAUUUGAUAAGAGAAGACCUGUCCUUUCCGGCCAACGACAGUUCUAUUUCUCCACUAUGGAUAACGUUAUUGCAUCAGUCCAUGGUGUAGGGGAAUAACGUGUAUGAUAGGUUCGAAGAUUCUCUAAAGUCGAGUUAUCUAUCUGUGGAGGAAGCUUGCGAUAUCUUUUCUCGGUGUUAUACUAUUAAAUCAGAGAGGCCAUUGCCUGUUCGACUCCAAGACUCACAUCGGCCCUCGACCAUAGCAUGGCAGAUUGAACAACUCGUUACGCCCGGCGUGACAAAGUUAGCAGCCCUAAUCAUAAAUGGGAAUACGUCUCUCUUCGUUGUCCGCCAUCAUGACAUUAUGUUUAUUGACACUCAUGCUCAUGGAACUGAUCAUGGCGUUAUUGUCCUCAAAGGUCACCGCGAUAGUUUGGAAAACUUUUGUCGUUCAGUAUGGGAAACUCAGAAUUUUCAUAACCAAAAUUAUGGUAAUUUCGUUCCCAUCCAUACCCCUGCGAUACUAUCGUAGCUCGAAGUUAGUAAAGUGAAACGGUGACAGGUUGAAAUAGUUGUGCAAGUGUUCUGCUUUGACGAUAUCAGCUAUAUAACGGCAAGCUAAAAGGGGAAUUCUAACACUUGUCAUUACAUGUUCAGGUGGUGGCUUCGAUAACGAAGAAAAAUCAUGAGUACAUGUGGAAUGAGCACCUCGGUUACAUCCUCACGUGUCCUAGCAACCUGGGCACUGGCCUACGCGCAGGCGUACACGUCAAACUACCGCUGCUCGGAAAGCCCACCCCGCUCACUUGGUCCAAAAUAUGGUCCAUCCUUCACAGCAAGGACACAAUAUUUUUAAACCUCAGUACCGAGAAUGGCACUCCUAGUUGUGAACUUCUGACAUUUUAUCGGUAGAAAAAUAUAGCUGUCCUCGCAUGAAAGGCGGCUUUAGUUUUUACGAUGGAAGUUUGGCGUGACCAAAGGUAUCGCUAGUCAUAUAUUGAGAAUUCCUCUAGAGAACACUGUUCUGCGCACAACAAAAUAUUGUCGGUUGUUUUCCCUUUUUGAUAAAAGCCUUUUGAAUUAAAUUUAAAUUCUCUCAUA